GCGUCUUUUCUGGAGAGCGCGGGAAUGAGAGCGCCGGAGGGUGGUGACGUCACCGGGGUUCCCUGCGUGGCUCGCAGGGGCGGGGCCAGAAACUGCCGCGAUGAAUGUCAGUCCCCAGAGCCGGAACCGUUCCCGGUUUUCUCUACUUGGAUCUGAGAACUCUGUCCCUCCAGCCCUGCGAGCGCUUUGCCAGGGUGACGGGCGGAAAUGUCCCCGCAUCCGUGCCUGCUUUCCCAGAUGGGACCCUCCAGCAGUCCCCUCCACUGCCCGUGCUUCCUCCUAACCACUUCCCCCCAGCGACCGCGGAAGGCGCUUCCUCCCCCGCAGCGCGAGCCCCAAGCUCCUCCAGAGCCCCAGCUCUCCCCGCCCCCUUCCCGACCUUGUUUCAUAUGACCCCUCCCCCGCACAUACUCAAUUUCGUCUUCCCAAGGCGCCCACUCUCCACAUCCUGAUGAAAAAAAGAGCCGGCUGCUGUCCUAUGUUAUUGUCAUACUUCUUUCCUCCCGUGCACUACACAACUUGAACAACUUUUUUUUUUCUUUUUUUGAGAAAAGGUCUCGAACUGUCGCCCAGGCUGGAGUACAGUGGCACGAUGAUGGCUCACUGCAGCCUCGCCCUCUCUGGGCACAGGUGAUCCUCCUGCCUCAGCUUCCCAAGAAGCUGGUACUACAGGCGCGUGCCACCACUAUUGGCUAAUUUUAAUUUUUUUUUAACCACAGGGUCUCGCUAUGUUGCCCAGGCUGGUCUCGAACCCCUAGGCUCAAGGGAUCCUCUCACCUCAGCCUCCCAAAGCGUGAGAUUACAGGCGUGAGCCACCGCGCCCCGCGGUAAAUACUAUUCCAAGGAAAUGGCACCUGAGUUUGAGGAGAUUAAUCGGGUUUACUGCAGGGAAGGAGCAUUGGCCCUGGUGGCCAGAGGCAAGGGUACGAACCUGACCCUGCCCUUUCCCUGCCUGGUUCUGCCUUCAGCAAAUUGUUCCACACAUCUCUGGUUUCCUCCCCACAUGAUCCCAAGGCCCUGCUGGCUCUAGCCUUUGUGAGGCUAGAAUUACAAUUCCAUUCCUCCCCAGCCACGCCCCAUCUCUUGCUCCCUGUGCUAGCGCUUUCCCCAAUCAGCCACACUUUCCUUUCCCAUUCACUGAGCCUGUGGAAAGCCCUCUUAUUCUGAAUAUCUAGAUCCUAUUCACCUUUGAAGACCCGACUUGGCCACGUUUCUUCCCAAAGCCUACUGCAUGCCCUUUGUGGGAGGAACUGCUCUGUCCUUGCAACGCCACUGUGUGUAGUACUUUCUCUGUAUCUUACCAGUGGCAUCGCCCACUCUGCCUGGGGUGCUGUUCCAUACUUGCCCUUCUUCCAGUGCCAUCUAUGUGUGUGGUAAGACCUCAGCAUAGCACUUUGCCCACGGUAAAGGAUAUGGUUUCGGGAGUCCCAAGACCCGGGUCCACGUCCCAGCUCUGACACUAAAUGUGUUAUCUUGAACAUGUCACAUGGCCUUUCUGAGCUUAAUUUCCCCAAAUGUAAAAUGGAAAUAGUAACUUAUUUCAUAGUGUUGCUGUGUUGAUUAGAUGAGACAUUAUAUAAGAAAAUGCUUUGUGAACUGUAAAGCUAUUUACACACAUAAAUAAUAGUAAAGAUAGAUAUUAUUCAGAUGCUGGCAAGAGGGAUAUUCUUUGCAAAACAGAAUUAAAAAAAAAAAAGAAAA
Molecule: long non-coding RNA, 1701 nt
Filed under: Homo sapiens (human)
Lineage: Eukaryota; Metazoa; Chordata; Mammalia; Primates; Hominidae
Description: non-protein coding LINC01816:13
Source: RNAcentral